UACGUAGGUGCCCAGCGUUGUCCGGAUUUACUGGGCGUAAAGAGCGCGCAGGCGGUCGUUCAAGUCGAGUGUGAAAGCCCCCGGCUCAACUGGGGAGGGUCAUUCGAUACUGAUCGACUUGAAGGCAGGAGAGGGAAGCGGAAUUCCCGGUGUAGUGGUGAAAUGCGCAGAUAUCAGGAGGAACACCGGUGGCGAAGGCGGGUCUCUGGGCCGAUACUGACGCUGAGGAGCGAAAGCGUGGGGAGCGAACAGG
This 253-nucleotide ribosomal RNA is filed under the name uncultured bacterium. RNAcentral's name for it is "partial 16S ribosomal RNA". It matches the Rfam family "Bacterial small subunit ribosomal RNA", at positions 524 to 776 of the family's 1533-position model. The record is from RNAcentral.